Aquila chrysaetos chrysaetos is the source of this 205-nucleotide long non-coding RNA. RefSeq lists it as uncharacterized. The record is from RefSeq and is a predicted model, not a curated record. NCBI's taxonomy places the organism in Eukaryota, Metazoa, Chordata, Aves, Accipitriformes, Accipitridae. The transcript is spliced from 3 exons.
CUGGCAGCAGAGGACCUGGCCCCUCCAUCACCUGCACCGAGAUCGAGUCACUGGGACGUUGCUGGCUUCGUGGUGGUGGUAACUAGUCUUGCUGUAUCUCUUCCGUUUUCUUGCUUAGGUCUGCCUCUUUUUCCUUCCUUCUUCCCUCUGUCCUGUCGCUAUUAUCAGUUGUUAUAGGAAACAAAACCUGUAAGGCUGUACGGCA